GACGAACGCUGGCGGCGUGCUUAACACAUGCAAGUCGAGCGGUAAGGCCCUUUCGGGGGUACACGAGCGGCGAACGGGUGAGUAACACGUGGGUGACCUGCCCUCAGCUCUGGGAUAAGCCUGGGAAACUGGGUCUAAUACUGGAUAUGACUCCACGGUGCAUGUCGUGGGGUGGAAAGCCUUGUGCGGCUGAGGAUGGGCCCGCGGCCUAUCAGCUUGUUGGUGGGGGAUGGCCUACCAAGGCGACGACGGGUAGCCGGCCUGAGAGGGCGACCGGUCACACUGGGACUGAGACACGGCCCAGACUCCUACGGGAGGCAGCAGUGGGGAAUCUUGCGCAAUGGGCGAAAGCCUGACGCAGCGACGCCGCGUGAGGGAUGACGGCCUGG
Molecule: ribosomal RNA, 389 nt
Filed under: uncultured bacterium
Lineage: Bacteria
Description: bacterial SSU rRNA
Rfam family: Bacterial small subunit ribosomal RNA
Source: RNAcentral